GCCCUUUCAUUCUGCACGCCGAUGCCCUAUAUCAUGGGGCCGUCUUCGGGCGGCUAUGGUGAUAAAUGAUGCCGUGAAAUAGACAUAGCGGACCCGGGGCAGUACCCGGCGGCUCCACCACCAGCCCCGGGAGCGAGGCUGAUGCUGGGGCCGAACCAGGAUCGACGUGUGUUCAAAGACGGUGUUUUGCCCGGCCUGACUGAGCCGUUAAACCGGUUUAACUCACAAAUGCCAACGAUAACGAGGCAUUCGCGAUUGCUGCCUAACGACCGGCCUCACGGCUAAUCGUUAAGUGACUUGAGCGCGGCAGGGACCACGCCGGGCAACAGAAGUGGAAACCAGCGGUACGGAGGGCACCGGGCAACAGAAGCCCUCCAUU
RNAcentral lists this transfer-messenger RNA (379 nucleotides) under Hankyongella ginsenosidimutans. The stretch from base 1 to 340 matches the Rfam family "Alphaproteobacteria transfer-messenger RNA". From Rfam's summary of the family: Bacterial tmRNA, also known as 10Sa RNA or SsrA, is named for its dual tRNA and mRNA-like properties. Its role is to liberate the mRNA from a stalled ribosome. The record is from RNAcentral. Lineage: Bacteria; Pseudomonadati; Pseudomonadota; Alphaproteobacteria; Sphingomonadales; Sphingomonadaceae.